UACGUAGGGUGCAGGCGUUAAUCGGAAUUACUGGGCGUAAAGCGCACGUAGGCGGACUACUAAGUCAGGGGUGAAAUCCCGGGGCUCAACCCCGGAACUGCCUUUGAUACUGGUAGUCUCGAGUCCGGAAGAGGUGAGUGGAAUUCCGAGUGUAGAGGUGAAAUUCGUAGAUAUUCGGAGGAACACCAGUGGCGAAGGCGGCUCACUGGUCCGGUACUGACGCUGAGGUGCGAAAGCGUGGGGAGCAAACAGG
Molecule: ribosomal RNA, 253 nt
Filed under: uncultured bacterium
Lineage: Bacteria
Description: partial 16S ribosomal RNA
Rfam family: Bacterial small subunit ribosomal RNA
Source: RNAcentral